CUUCAGAUGCUAUGCAACCACCUUGCAUCACUCGUUGGAAGAGAGACAGCAUGGCCUUCAGCCUUAGCACAUGAGAGGCUGGCAGAGUUGCUCAAAUAUUCCCACAAAUCCCACUCUUUGGAGCAGCACUAUCCAUCUUUCUGACUGAGGAGUCUUCAUUCCCAAGGACAGUUCUCAAAGAGAAAGGAAAGCAACUUUCCCAGGUACAUGAAACAUUGAAUCUUUCUCUUCCCAAAAAGCCACUUUCUGAUUCCAAGAAAAGCUAGUAAAGACCUGAAGUCUGUUUGCAGUUUCCUUGAUAAUAUGUUACCAUGUGAUUAAAGCAGCUUUAAUCGCUGUACAUGCUUCUAUGCAUGAACAUUAAUUUUCAUUUCUUAACAGAUCAACUGCAUCUUUGAGAGAUACUAUGCUAAUACUAUAUGUAAAAAAACUGUACAUACUUCUUUUAGCUCAAGUAAGAAUACAGGUUAGUUAAAAGACUGUCAAUUUCUUCAACAGGUUUCUAUUUUGCUAUUAUAAAUGUAAUAUGUACUACUUGCUAUUUUUUCAAGAUGGCUUUCACUUGCCAACUUUGUUAAUUUUGAGUCUCAUCUUGCACUGUAAAUGGAAACUUAUAUGCAGUCUUACGGGGUCAAUAAUACUGUCAUUGACAGUAGGUAGUAUGUUUGAUACUGAUUUGAGGGGGUCUUUAUUCAAAUUUCUUUGGCCCUGUAGCAUCUGGAAAGCUGUUGUUUGUCAUCUACGUCCAGCACUGCAUUGUCAUCACCAAUGUACAAAAGACUGGCCUGCUCCUGGAAUGGAGCUACUAACAAAUAGCCCACUCAGACAGGAAACAGCUGCAGCACCUUUCAGAAGUACAACUGUCAUCUUAGGUUCUUAUAGAACAAAAAUGGGUUGUUGAAACAACUUUCAUUUAAAGUACGCAGGUUUUCAAGGAUCUCCAAGACAUUUAUAAACAGAAGUCAGAUGCCUAAUACCUGCUAAGAAAUGAGGUAAUGGAGUACCUUUCCCUUGUCUCACCAUUAGUCAGCAACAGAACUGAGGACAGAAUCUGUAAAUUGGUACCUCUCAGCACCAGACUGUGCUGCUUCUGUACACAUCUGCCACGCUUUGUGACUUCACGGUGCAGUUAUCUGCUCAGUUCUUUUCAUGACUUCUUGAUUGUAAAAGUUGUGGAAGAAGAUACACAUAAAGAAAUCAAGUCCAGUAGUUUGCAAAUACCAUUACUCACUAUGUAGUCUUCAUAACUGAGUGUAUGUCUGAGUUGAAGAUGCCUUAUAAAAUGUCUGCUGAAAUAGCUUGGAUCUCUCCCAGGUGUUAAACAAUUGUACAACAAUUUAAAUAAAUGGAAGGAAGUAUUCAGUUUUCACAUUGGAGGUCUUGCAGAAGAAAUGUUAUCAGUGUUUAAAAAAAACAGAAUUGUGAAAUAAGUGAAUCUGUUAUGGCCAAAUGGCAUUCUUUGAGCAAGACGAAGACUGCUAGUCACAGUGCACUUCCAGAUCAGCUGUCAAUUAUGCUAAUCCCUGCUGUGUAAUUCAUGUCUGCAGACAUCCCAAGGACUGUCAACCCACAUAAAGCUGAUGGUUAAUAUAUUCCCUUGUACUAGCUGCAAGAGAACAGUCAGGCAAAAGCAUUUGUUUUAUUGAAUACAACAUUUGUUUAUCAUCCAAAACAAUUUGUGUAUCCAUACAAACAGGGUCACAGUAAGACCUCACAGCCUCCGUGGACCUUCAGAAUGAAGCCAUUUAUGUGAAGUUAACUUAAAAAAUAAAAAUUAAAAUCCCCACUAUGACAGACUCCUAUGUAAAGCCAAAUAUGCAGUUCUCAAAUUAUAACCUCAAAACCCAAAUGAGAAUACAAAGCAAAUGCUGCACAUAAAUUUGAGUUAAGGCAGUAGAAAUAGCACAUGCAGGACUUAAAAGCAGGCAAGUGACUGAACCUAAUGAUAAUCACUGUCUUGGCUGUAAGUAAUGGUUUGUUGUAUCCAUCAUAAGACUUCCUACUCCAUUUUUCAGUGCUCCCACCAGCACUCACAAUUGUGGGAGUGCUAGUAUUUUAAAUAUUAUGUGCAUACAUGCUUGUCUGUGAGAAAUGGGGAGAGGGAAUUAAUAUAGGUACAUUUUUCCUCCACUGUCAAAACCAAUUAAACAAUAUAUCUUCUCUUUGUC
Long non-coding RNA from Tyto alba (common barn owl), 2168 nucleotides. RefSeq lists it as uncharacterized. The record is from RefSeq and is a predicted model, not a curated record. Lineage: Eukaryota; Metazoa; Chordata; Aves; Strigiformes; Tytonidae. The transcript is spliced from 3 exons.